CAGGUCCCAAGGGUUGGGCUGUUCGCCCAUUAAAGCGGUACGCGAGCUGGGUUUAGAACGUCGUGAGACAGUUCGGUCCCUAUCCUCUGUAGCCGAAGGUAAUUUGAGGAGAUCUGUCCCUAGUACGAGAGGACCGGGAUGGACGUAGCUCUCGUGUGCCAGUUGUUCCGCCAGGAGCAUGGCUGGUUAGCGACCUACGGAACGGAUAACCGCUGAAAGCAUCUAAGUGGGAAGCCAGCUCCAAGAUGAGAUACCCCACCGGGUUAACCGGGUAAGGCCCGUGGCAGAACACCACGUUGAUAGGCCGGAAGUGUAAGCACAGCAAUGUGUUCAGCUGACCGGUACUAAUCGGCCGAGGGCUUGAUUUA
This 368-nucleotide ribosomal RNA is filed under the name Acidimicrobiaceae bacterium. RNAcentral's name for it is "bacterial LSU rRNA". It matches the Rfam family "Bacterial large subunit ribosomal RNA", at positions 2559 to 2925 of the family's 2925-position model. Lineage: Bacteria; Bacillati; Actinomycetota; Acidimicrobiia; Acidimicrobiales; Acidimicrobiaceae. The record is from RNAcentral.